GACGAACGCUGGCGGCGUGCUUAACACAUGCAAGUCGUACGGUAAGGCCCUUUCGGGGGUACACGAGUGGCGAACGGGUGAGUAACACGUGAGUAACCUGCCCACAACUUUGGGAUAACGCUAGGAAACUGGUGCUAAUACUGGAUAUGUGCUCCUGCUGCAUGGUGGGGGUUGGAAAGCUCCGGCGGUUGUGGAUGGACUCGCGGCCUAUCAGCUUGUUGGUGGGGUAGUGGCCUACCAAGGCGGCGACGGGUAGCCGGCCUGAGAGGGUGACCGGCCACAUUGGGACUGAGAUACGGCCCAGACUCCUACGGGAGGCAGCAGGGGGGAAUAUUGCACAAGGGGCGCAAGCCUGAUGCAGCAACGCCGCGGGCGGGAUGACGGCCUUCGGGUUGUAAACCGCUUUCAGCAGGGACGAAGCUUUUUGUGACGGUACCUGCAGAAGAAGCACCGGCUAACUACGUG
RNAcentral lists this ribosomal RNA (465 nucleotides) under uncultured bacterium. RNAcentral's name for it is "partial 16S ribosomal RNA". It matches the Rfam family "Bacterial small subunit ribosomal RNA", at positions 28 to 507 of the family's 1533-position model. The record is from RNAcentral.